UGUUGUGUACAGUACUACUGUAUGUGGGUGUGACAAAAUGAACGAACAAAGCAGAGGUAGUCGAAUAAACAAAUGUAUAUCGGUCGAUAAAAUAUAGAGGUGAGACACUAUGAUCUUAACUAGGUAUAGCUAUCCGCGAGCGUCGCGAAUCCCGAGUGGAUUUCCGUCUCUGGUCCGAAUCAGAGAGUAGUGGCUUGAGCGAUGCCCGAAAUCAGAGUGUGGCGACCCGAGCGAUGGCCGAAAUCAGAAUCCCUUGGCCUGCUCGCGAGGGGAUGGAUGAUCAGCCUGAAGAGAAAGCCGGGGAAGACCGAAGAUAGGGAAAGAAUGAGAAAGUCGCGGACAACGGUGGUGCCUGGCACGGGGUGAAGAUAUGGAAAAAUGAAAAGGCGAGCCAGGCGCCAGGAUGGUGGAUGGAGAUCUAUAGGUAGAAGCAGUUCGCAAAGUCGCGGCGCGGCGCCGCGGACAAGGGUGGCGCCGGCCGCGGGAGAGAAGGUGUAACGGUGCUAAAAAGGGAAAGGAAGCAUGGUAAGGCAUCGUGCUAGGCAUAGGUAGGAACACUACAGUGCCUACACUGAAGACUGCCACUUUAAAAAAACUGGAAAUCUAGCAUACCUACUGUAAUGCAUGAUUUCUCAGAGCUGGGAAGUCAUAAUUCUAGCAGUAAAUAUACGAAGUAGGUAUAUACUUACAUGGAUACCAACAUUGAUAGACCUAGGUCAGUCCAUUAGAAAAGUUUAGUGUGUAGUGUGAUAAUCUCUGCAACUUGGGGGUGAGGGCUGUCCACAUUGCCAACAGAUUCCCCCACUUUGCUUGUCCCACUCUGUUGUUCCCCGGAUCCAAUUACAUAUUGAUCUUAUGCAGAUUGGAGAGGAACUAUGCAAAAGGGCAGUGCAAACGCAAAUCGAGGAAAUGUUUGGAAAGAAACAGCAGAUCCGGGGAGUCCGUCGCCAGAUCAGGAAAUUUCAAAGAACAUAUUGCUAACAGGACGACCUGGGCAACCUGGGUCUAUCCCUAUUGACCUUUUGUCAGUCUGUUGCACUUGCACUUGCACGUCUGUCUCUAUUCUCUAUUUCUCUGUCUGUUGUCAACAACUCAACAAGUUCGAGUUCGCACUUGACGCAUGCGCCGUGCGCUGCCGGUCUGAUCUGAACUCUGGACUGUGA
This 1163-nucleotide long non-coding RNA is filed under the name Bemisia tabaci. Its description in RNAcentral is "lncRNA ENSSSA3NGG012222". Lineage: Eukaryota; Metazoa; Arthropoda; Insecta; Hemiptera; Aleyrodidae. The record is from RNAcentral.